UGGUCUGUCGGCAGGGCCCGCCUGACUUUGAAUCAGGAUGAGCGACGCAGGUUCGACUCCUGCC
RNAcentral lists this transfer RNA (64 nucleotides) under Xanthomonas citri pv. citri. RNAcentral's name for it is "tRNA-Gln". The record is from RNAcentral. Lineage: Bacteria; Pseudomonadati; Pseudomonadota; Gammaproteobacteria; Lysobacterales; Lysobacteraceae.